GGGAGAGUUCCCGAGUGGCCAAAGGGGGCAGACUGUAAAUCUGUUGCUUGAUAGCUUCGAUGGUUCGAAUCCAUCCUCUCCCACCA
This 86-nucleotide transfer RNA is filed under the name Clostridiaceae bacterium. Its description in RNAcentral is "tRNA-Tyr". It matches the Rfam family "tRNA". Rfam says of the family: Transfer RNA (tRNA) molecules are approximately 80 nucleotides in length. The record is from RNAcentral. Lineage: Bacteria; Bacillati; Bacillota; Clostridia; Eubacteriales; Clostridiaceae.